CCUACGGGUGACAGCAGUGGGGAAUAUUGGGCAAUGGGCGCAAGCCUGACCCAGCAACGCCGCGUGAAGGAAGAAGGCUUUCAGGUUGUAAACUUCUUUUAAGAGGGAAGAGCAGAAGACGGUACCCCUUAAAUAAUCCACGGCGAACAACGGGCCAGCAGCCGCGGUAAUACGUAGGUGGCAAGCGUUGUCCGUAUUUACUGGGUGUAAAGGGCGUGUAGCCGGGCUGACAAGUCAGAUGUGAAAUUCCCGGGCUCAACCCCGGACCUGCAUUUGAAACUGUUGGUCUUGAGUAUCGGAGAGGCAGGCGGAAUUCCUAGUGUAGCGGUGAAAUGCGUAGAUAUUAGGAGGAACACCAGUGGCGAAGGCGGCCUGCUGGACGACAACUGACGGUGAGGCGCGAAAGCGUGGGGAGCAAACAGGAUUAGAUACCCGAGUAGUC
This 442-nucleotide ribosomal RNA is filed under the name uncultured bacterium. RNAcentral's name for it is "partial 16S ribosomal RNA". It matches the Rfam family "Bacterial small subunit ribosomal RNA", at positions 338 to 795 of the family's 1533-position model. The record is from RNAcentral.